CUGCAAAAUUCCCAUUUCCUCCCAAUCAGCUGGGACUUGGGAGGCAGAGAAUAGAUGAGGGCGGGGCCAGUCAGAAUUUUUACUACCGGUUCUCCGAACUACUCAAAAUUUCCAUUACCGGUUCUCCAGAACUGGUCAGAACCUGCUGAAACCCACCUCUGAUUCUAACUGCAUUUCUGAUAGAUUGCAAAUAAAAAGGCCAAAAUAAUUUCAGAUACCUGAAGCACAGUAAAGCAUAAUAUUAUCUCAUAUUGUCUUUUACUGUAAAACUCAACUAUAUAGCAGCAUCUAACCAACCUUGGCUGAUCUUGAAAAAAUAAACAGGAUUGAUCUAGUUACUAAACGAAUGGGAGACCAGCAGCAGAUCAAAGGGCUGUAGACCUGGGAAGAAGAAGAAGAAAAACCAAAGCAAAAGCUAAGUAUUUUAUAAUUCACCCUAAAAUGUUCAUUAAUAUAUCUACUUGGUGUAAGUAUCAAAAGUCAAGGUGAACUUGAAGUACUAGCCAUUUUGAAAAGGAAUCAUGGAUAUUAUUUUUAAAGAACUGGGGAAACCAGAAAAGUGUCAUUUCCUUUCAGAUUGUCCCUUCAAGCAAUCUUUCAUAAGGUGAUAUUAGAACAGUUUCUAUUGAUAAUUAAUAGAUUUUGCUAUUGCAGGCAGAUUGCCUGACCGAGUGAAAACUCUUCAAUAGAUAAGCAUUCGUGAUGAUAUAGGAUUUUUAAAUUCUGAAUACUUAGAGCAAGAUGACGAACUACUAUUUCUUUUUUAAACGUUACGUUUAUUUUGCUCAGUGCUUAAAGAUGCAGAAAAUGUUAUCUUUAACUUGUUUUUUUCAUGCUCUCUCUAUUAGACCUAAUAUUAAACCAUAUCUAAAGUAUCACCCAUAAUGCUUUGACAAAUCCACUUCAACCACAGCAUUGCCCUUCAUUCUGACUUCAAAAUAUUCACCUAUUCUCCUGGAUUUGUACUGUUUAGCCCAGAGAUAAAGAUUAAGAAGUGAGAUAAAUCCAUUCUCCCAAGCAUGCUCAUGUUUUAAUGCUGAAGUGGAAAACUGUAUCACCCAGAGUACAUUCCAAUUUAUGCCUUUGGACAGAAUGGCCUACUGCCAACACAAUUGACCUGCUGAGCAACUGAUCCAUUUGCAAGUAAAGAUAGAAGAAAAUGCCAUAGAAAAGCUAUAUAUUGUUAUUACAUUAUAUCAAUUAUUGUGUGAGUAAAUAUGGAGUAUUUGUGGCACCUAUGUAUCAAAAAAGAACAGAGAGGCAAGAGAAUGUGCAAAUUAGGGAACAAUUGUACAAAUUCCUCAUGGAAGCAAAGUUUUAAGAUCUUCGAAAUAAAAAUAUAAUCAAUCAAAAGAAAUAAAGAAAUAAAACAAUA
Pantherophis guttatus is the source of this 1375-nucleotide non-coding RNA. The record is from RefSeq and is a predicted model, not a curated record. Lineage: Eukaryota; Metazoa; Chordata; Lepidosauria; Squamata; Colubridae.